ACGGGCAUGAGACACUGUGCCCAGCUUGUUCUGUUCUUCAUCUAGAAUUUAAAUUAGUUAAAAUUCUAGCUUUAACCAGAAUUCUAGAUUGUAUUUCUCGAUAAUCAUGUGUUCUUCCCAUUUUUAACCUAAAGAAAAUGCCUACCUCACCCCGCACCAAACAGACACACACACACACACACACACACCUUUAAGAUUCUAUUUCUAACUUCAUCAUCAGGGUUAUCACCUUCUCUGAGAUAUUUUGCAUUCUUUACUUUUAUUAUUUAGAGUCUGAAGAUGCUCAUGGUAAAUGCAGAUUAUAGAGCUAACUUUUUGCACAAAAAGCCCACAAAACAGUCUUUGAGAGAGCAUGUCAGUGUUACGUUUGGAUUUUAAAAGACAGUGAAGCUUAGCUGAGAUUCUGUUUUACAGAUUUUGCGAAUAAAUAAAAAGACAGAUUCCGUUUGCUCUGGACUGUGUUAGCUGCAGUGCGGAGGGCGGAACCGGCUGAAGGAACUGCUGUGUAUUUUCAGCACAUCUCAGCCAGCUUCCGUUUCAGUCUUCUGUUUCCAUCACCCACACAGGCAUAUUCAAGAGUUCCUGCUACAUCGAUGUACGCUGGUUUCCCUUUGAUGUGCAGCACUGCAAACUGAAGUUUGGGUCCUGGUCUUACGGAGGCUGGUCCUUGGAUCUGCAGAUGCAGGAGGCAGAUAUCAGUGGCUAUAUCCCCAAUGGAGAAUGGGACCUAGUGGGAAUCCCCGGCAAGAGGAGUGAAAGGUUCUAUGAGUGCUGCAAAGAGCCCUACCCCGAUGUCACCUUCACAGUGACCAUGCGCCGCAGGACGCUCUACUAUGGCCUCAACCUGCUGAUCCCCUGUGUGCUCAUCUCCGCCCUCGCCCUGCUGGUGUUCCUGCUUCCUGCAGAUUCCGGGGAGAAGAUUUCCCUGGGGAUAACAGUCUUACUCUCUCUUACUGUCUUCAUGCUGCUCGUGGCUGAGAUCAUGCCCGCAACAUCCGAUUCGGUACCAUUGAUAGCCCAGUACUUCGCCAGCACCAUGAUCAUCGUGGGCCUCUCGGUGGUGGUGACGGUGAUCGUGCUGCAGUACCACCACCACGACCCCGACGGGGGCAAGAUGCCCAAGUGGACCAGAGUCAUCCUUCUGAACUGGUGCGCGUGGUUCCUGCGAAUGAAGAGGCCCGGGGAGGACAAGGUGCGCCCGGCCUGCCAGCACAAGCAGCGGCGCUGCAGCCUGGCCAGUGUGGAGAUGAGCGCCGUGGCGCCGCCGCCCGCCAGCAACGGGAACCUGCUGUACAUCGGCUUCCGCGGCCUGGACGGCGUGCACUGUGUCCCGACCCCCGACUCUGGGGUAGUGUGUGGCCGCAUGGCCUGCUCCCCCACGCACGACGAGCACCUCCUGCACGGUGGGCAGCCCCCCGAGGGGGACCCGGACCUGGCCAAGAUCCUGGAGGAGGUCCGCUACAUUGCCAACCGCUUCCGCUGCCAGGACGAAAGCGAGGCGGUCUGCAGCGAGUGGAAGUUCGCCGCCUGCGUGGUGGACCGCCUGUGCCUCAUGGCCUUCUCGGUCUUCACCAUCAUCUGCACCAUCGGCAUCCUGAUGUCGGCUCCCAACUUCGUGGAGGCCGUGUCCAAAGACUUUGCGUAACCACGCCUGGUUCUGUACAUGUGGAAAACUCACAGAUGGGCAAGGCCUUUGGCUUGGCGAGAUUUGGGGGUGCUAAUCCAGGACAGCAUUACACGCCACAACUCCAGUGUUCCCUUCUGGCUGUCAGUCGUGUUGCUUACGGUUUCUUUGUUACUUUAGGUAGUAGAAUCUCAGCACUUUGUUUCAUAUUCUCAGAUGGGCUGAUAGAUAUCCUUGGCACAUCCGUACCAUCGGUCAGCAGGGCCACUGAGCAGUCAUUUUGCCCAUUAGCCCACUGCCUGGAAAGCCCUUCGGAGAGCUCCCCAUGGCUCCUCACCACCGGGACAGUUGGUUUUGCAUGUCUGCAUGAAGGUCUACCUGAAAAUUCAACAUUUGCUUUUUGCUUGUGUACAAACCCAGAUUGAAGCUAAAAUAAACCAGACUCACUAAAUCCAUUCCAAUAAUUGACUGGUGGAAGGAAAACAAAAAACAAAAACUAAAAACCUCUUAGCUUUUCUGCAAUUCAACUUUUUAUUUUUAUUUCUAUCAAAGACGGUAGAGAGAAACAGCUUGAUGCUGUUUCUACAUUAAAAAAAAAAAAAAAAAAAAAGACAGACUGUUGGUCUUACUAAGGAUGUUUUUACCAGCCUGCCUGACUUCUGCAAACCUACCCUGUCAAGGAGAUCAAAGGGACGCAGGUUUCUGUUUAUUCUGAACAAGGGCCAGGCCCCGCGGAGUGUCUUUGGUGGAUCCCAGAUAACUCCUAGGUGCUGCUCUCAGACACUGAGGAGUUGAGCAAAUCUGUUCUAUUCUGCAGAACCCACAGGACAAAUAAGAGUUCUACUAGAAUUAACAGCCCAAAAGAAUAGCUAAAGCUAAGUGAAGCCACUUACGUGGGCUUUAAAAAAAUAAUGUGUUAGCUGAUUCACAUGCACUGGAGUUAAUUAGUCUUAGAAAUGUGUGCAUCCAUACAAAUGCACAACAUAAAGUGAACAUAUUCCUAGGCCCUUUCUGCCUGUGUCAGGGCCAGGAAGUAGAGGCUGGGAACUCUUCUGGUCCCCAGUAUGGCAGGCGCCAGGGAGGGGAUGGUGUGGCCCAUCCCUUCUCUGGAUACCUGGCCAGUGGCAGGCAGCAGGGAGGAGCUGGCCGACCCUCAGUGACUGACAAGCCAGCAAUUCUGAGUUCUGGCCUUUGGGAGUCUGCCUGCUCCAAGCCAGUCCACCCCAGCUGCAGCCCCAAAAGCUGGCUCAAAGUCCUUGGGUGGAUUCACUGGAGAUGGGCAACUUAAAACAAGAGAAACUUUAAUUUUUAAACCUAAGUGAUGAUACAGCUCUUCCCUUAGAUUAUCGCCCAGGCUGGAGUGCAGUGGCAUGAUCUCAGCUCACUGCAAGCUCCACCUCCUGGGUUCAUGCCAUUCUCCUGCCUCAGCCUCCCCCCGAGUAAUUGGGAAUACAGGCACCCGCCACCAUGCCUGGCUAAUUUUUUGUAUUUUUAGUAGAGAUAGAUAGGGUUUCAUCAUGUUAGCCAGGAUGGUCUCAUUCUUAUUCUUUAAUGAGAUCAGAGGGUAAUUCACCAAGAAAGACCUCUCCUGUUCCAUUGUGUCAUCCAACAACUGCUCAGAGCUCAAAAUUAUAGAAGGCUUCUGAGCCCCUAGAGAUUUUUAAUUUGCUUCUAAUCCCUGAGGUGGGAACAUCAUGAGGGAAGAUUUGAUUUUCAGAGUUAAAUAAAUUGUAUGUGCUUUUCCAGCCAUCUGGCUCACUCAUUUCUGGGUAAUGCACAUGACUUUGUUUGCACUGGAGGAAGAUGGAAGCUUGCAUGUGUGCGGUGUGUGUGUGUGUGUAAGUGUGAGGUACCUUGUGUGUGACAAGAGACCUCACUUAUGAGAAAGUUGGUGGAUCAGGACAUUCCAGCCUCAGGCGGCUUGGAGCAGGAUCCUUUCUCAGCAGGCAUUCCUUCCACAUGCUAUGGAUGAACCAUGCACAAGAUUUUCGGUUUUUUGGUUUUUUUUUUUUUCUGUUACAGUGUCUUUAGAAACAAGUAGAAGUGUUUUGAUAUAUAAAAGGAAUGCUUCAUUUCUUAUCAUUAUCCCAAAAUUGAUCCCUCCCACAUUUUUGCUUUAAAAAGAAACCUUUUUGGUUUUGUAUUUUAUACAGGAACACAUAAAAUGCAAACAAGUUGUGCAUAUUUUGGACUCUCAAAUAACUACUCUGUCCUUUAAUAAAGUAAUAAUAAGGAAUAGAUGUGCACAUAGUUAGAAAAGUAUGAGUGGUUAAAAACAACAGUCUCCCAUACUGCCUGUUUUCUCUCUCAGAGGGGACCACUAAUGAGCUUCUAAGGGCAUUUCUAGAAAGGAAGAAAAGAAGAUAAGAGGCCAAAGAAGGAGGGACGGGGGUUAUGGAGAGAGACCUUCCCUCUCCAGCACUAACGCUCUGUGAAGGGCGCUGCACCUUGCAUUCUUCAUGUGGGGUUUUGUCUUACAGGUUGUCCCAUAAUAACAUAUAAAGAUCUACCUCAUUCCUCUUAGUAGCUGCUUAGCAUUCCAUUGUCUCAGCGGACUAUCAUUUAUUUGAGUAGCCUUUUAUUGGUGAACAUAUGGAUACUUCCAGUUUUUAUUUUUAUAUACAAAUCUAUAAUUGGCAUACUUGUACAUACAUCUUGACAUAGUUUUGUGACUAAAACGGUAUAAAUUCCAACUUAGAAAUGGAAUUGCUGGGUUUAAGGCUACAUGUAUUUAAAAUUUUGAUAGCUAUUGCCAGAUUAUCUUCUAGAAACUGAUCGAAGGAUGUAACUCCAUCAAGAGUACAAUAAAAGGCCCAAUUUCUCAGCUUUCUAUAAUAGCACUGGGUAUUUUCAAACUUAAUGUUUUUCCCAAUAUAAUUGGUGAAACAUGAUAUUUGCGAAUAUUAUUCUGAUUUUGGUUUAUUUUGUGUAUAAAAUGGGACAUCUUUUAAAAUUUUUUUGUUGUUUUAAUUUUGAUACAUUUAUAUAUUUUACCCAGUUCCUAACUGGGUUAUUUGGCUUUUUCUUAAUUACUUUGCUCAUCCACUUUGGGACAUUUUUGUCUUAUGUCUUGAAAAUAUUUUUAUCAUUUGUCUUUCGAUGUUAUUUAUUGAUUUCCUUAUUUAUUGGCGUAGCGUUUAAAUUUUUAUGUUGUCAAUUUGUGAGUAUUUUUCUUUGUCGAUCGUGGGAUUUGUUUCCAGUUUUUAAAAGCCUUCCUCAUUCUGAGAUUAUAAAUAAACUUACUCGCAUUUUCUUCUGAAACUUUAUGGUUUUAUUGGUUCACCUUCACAUCUUCAGACUCCCUGGAAUUCAUUUGUUGCAGGACGUGAGGGAAAAAUCCAUACUUUUUCCUCGAAAUGUUGGUCAGCAGUAUCAAUAGAUAUGUAAUAAUGCAUUUCUAAAAUACAGUCAUAGUGUUUUCCCCAGUUGUUCAAAAUGCAGCCUUAUUUGUAAACUAAAUUUCUUUAAGUGUUUGGUUCUGUUUCUGUUCUAUUUAUCUCUAUGAAUGCCUUUCACUUCUAAAGCAUUAUUCAUACUAAUAUCAGUAUUUUCAAGUCAACACUCCCAUCAACUCUGAAUCUCUCUCUCUCAUAUGAAUCUUUUUUCAAUUAGAGUCACAAUGAAUUUACAGAUUGAGUCUUCCUAUUCAAAAGCAUGAAAUCUUGUGUUUAAGUCUAAUUUUAUGUAACUUAGUAGUGUUUUAUGAUUUUGUUCACUAAGGUGCUUUGAAUUUAUAGUUGUUUAUUUCUAGAUGUUUUAUCAUUUGGCUAUCAUUUUCAAUGGAAUGAUUUAUUCCACUUUAUUUUCUAUUUUAUCCCAUUGUAUAAGAAAGUAGUUGGUUUUUAUGUAUGAAUGUUAUAAUCAACCACAAAUUGUGAUUCCUACUUGUUUCUAAGAUAUACUUUUGACUUCUCCUUUCCAAUGUGUCUCUUAUUUCUUUCUUGUAUCUAGUUGAUUUGAGAUCAGUGUUGAGUCACAGUGAUUCAGGUGGCAUGCUUAUCUUGUUCGUGACAUCAGUGGCACCUUUUAAUGUCUCAGCGUUUAACUUGUAUGAAGACAUGUAUUUUCCUUGCCAUAAUAAAAAAGUAUCUGUGUGUUCUCAAACUAUUAAGACUCUCUGGGGAAAAUGUAGACGUUAGAUUUUUGUCAAAGCCUUCUCAGUGUCCAGAGGGAUUAUCAGAAGGUCUUUUCCUUUGCUCUAGUAGUAUGUUUAAUUAUAUUAAUAGAAUACUUAAGACCAAAUCAUUAGUGUAUUCCUGAGAUGUUCUUUACUUGUUAGUAUCAUGACUUUGGUUAUCAAUAUUUAUAAUUAAGAUUCAUCAUUCUACAGCUUGCUUUUAUGUGUUUUUUGUCCAGAUUUGAUUUAACUUUAUGCUGACUUAAAGAAAUAUUAUAAAACAAAAACCUCUAUAUUCUACAAUCAUCUAUUGGUUUUGAAUUAUUUUCUGCUUAAGCGUAGAAGAACUAGCUGGGGCUGUCUGGGCCUGCUGUGGUAUAUUUCUGGAUUUUGCUCAUCAGGCAGGUUAGGUCCUCAAGACCUUCUAGAGUCCAUUUUAAUGACAUUUUUAAAAAUA
RNAcentral lists this small RNA (6198 nucleotides) under Pan troglodytes (chimpanzee). RNAcentral describes it as "retained intron". Lineage: Eukaryota; Metazoa; Chordata; Mammalia; Primates; Hominidae. The record is from RNAcentral.